This 481-nucleotide ribosomal RNA is filed under the name uncultured bacterium. RNAcentral describes it as "bacterial SSU rRNA". It matches the Rfam family "Bacterial small subunit ribosomal RNA", at positions 355 to 849 of the family's 1533-position model. The record is from RNAcentral.
UGGGGAAUCUUGCACAAUGGGCGAAAGCCUGAUGCAGCAACGCCGCGUGCGGGAAGACAGCCCUAGGGUUGUAAACCGCUUUCAGCAGGGAAGAAACUGACGGUACCUGCAGAAGAAGAUGCGGCCAACUACGUGCCAGCAGCCGCGGUGACACGUAGGCAUCAAGCGUUAUCCGGAUUUAUUGGGCGUAAAGAGCUCGUAGGCGGUUCGGUAAGUCGGGUGUGAAAACUCUGGGCUCAACCCAGAGAGGCCACUCGAUACUGCUGUGACUAGAGUGCGGUAGGGGAGCGGGGAAUUCCUGGUGUAGCGGUGAAAUGCGCAGAUAUCAGGAGGAACACCAGUGGCGAAGGCGCCGCUCUGGGCCGUAACUGACGCUGAGGAGCGAAAGCAUGGGUAGCAAACAGGAUUAGAUACCCUGGUAGUCCAUGCCGUAAACGUUGGGCACUAGGUGUGGGUCUCAACCGAACGAGAUCCGCGCCGU